CUGGGCUAUGGCGACAUGUACCCGGAGACGUGGUCGGGCAUGCUGGUGGGCGCACUGUGCGCUUUGGCGGGUGUGCUGACCAUUGCCAUGCCCGUGCCCGUCAUUGUCAACAAC
Molecule: non-coding RNA, 114 nt
Organism: Apteronotus leptorhynchus
Lineage: Eukaryota; Metazoa; Chordata; Actinopteri; Gymnotiformes; Apteronotidae
Source: Rfam